RNAcentral lists this ribosomal RNA (465 nucleotides) under uncultured bacterium. RNAcentral's name for it is "partial 16S ribosomal RNA". It matches the Rfam family "Bacterial small subunit ribosomal RNA", at positions 28 to 507 of the family's 1533-position model. The record is from RNAcentral.
GACGAACGCUGGCGGCGUGCUUAACACAUGCAAGUCGAACGGAAAGGCCCUGCUUGCAGGGUACUCGAGUGGCGAACGGGUGAGUAACACGUGGGUGAUCUGCCCUGCACUUCGGGAUAAGCCUGGGAAACUGGGUCUAAUACCGGAUAUGACCUUCCAUGAAGGGUGGGGGGGGGAAAGAUUUCGCGGUGAGGGUUGAUUCCGCGGCCUAUCAGCUUGUUGGUGGGGUAAUGGCCUACCAAGGCGGCGGCGGGUAGCCGGCCUGAGGGGGUGGACGGCCACAUUGGCACUGAGAUGCGGCCCAGUCUCAUGCGGGAGAGAGCAGGGGGGAAUAGUGCACAAUGGGCAGGACCCAUGUGCAGCGGCGCCGUGUGGGGGAUGACGGCCUGCGGGGUGUAAACCUCUUUCGACGGGCACAAAGCUGCGGUGACGGUACCUAGAUAAGAAGCACCGGCUAACUACGUG